RNAcentral lists this long non-coding RNA (441 nucleotides) under Papio anubis (olive baboon). RNAcentral's name for it is "lncRNA (ENSPANG00000047810.1)". Lineage: Eukaryota; Metazoa; Chordata; Mammalia; Primates; Cercopithecidae. The record is from RNAcentral.
UCAGGGGACAUGUGGCCAUUCAUUGCCUCCUUCAAAGCCGUCAGAGACCCUCCUCCAUAGGAUUUUCCUUUUCUCCUACAAGUCAAGACCUGGAACAUCAGCUAAUGGUAAUCCUCAGUUUAGCAUAGCUGCCCGCAAAGGAUUCCCCAGAGAAACAGAACCAACAGCAUAGAGAUUUAUCAUGAUGGAUUGGCUCACAUGAUUAGGAAGGCUGAGAAGCCCCACAAUCUGCCAUCUGCAAGCUGCAGCCCCGUGAAAGCCUGAUGGUCUAGUUUCAGUCCAAACUUGAAGGCCUGAGAACCAGGGGAACCAACAGUGUAAGUCCCAGCCAGAGUCCAAAGGCUGAAGAACCAGGCGCUUCAGUGUCUAAGGGCAGGAGAAGAUGGAUGUCCCAGCUCAGAAAUAAAGAGCAAAUUCACCCUUCCUCUGACUUUCUAUUCA